RNAcentral lists this ribosomal RNA (742 nucleotides) under uncultured bacterium. RNAcentral describes it as "bacterial SSU rRNA". It matches the Rfam family "Bacterial small subunit ribosomal RNA", at positions 94 to 823 of the family's 1533-position model. The record is from RNAcentral.
AGCGGCGGAUGGGUGAGUAACACGUGGGGAACCUGCCCUAAGUCUGGGAUACCAUUUGGAAACAGGUGCUAAUACCGGAUAAUAAAGCAGAUCGCAUGAUCAGCUUUUGAAAGGCGGCGUAAGCUGUCGCUAAGGGAUGGCCCCGCGGUGCAUUAGCUAGUUGGUAAGGUAACGGCUUACCAAGGCGACGAUGCAUAGCCGAGUUGAGAGACUGAUCGGCCACAUUGGGACUGAGACACGGCCCAAACUCCUACGGGAGGCAGCAGUAGGGAAUCUUCCACAAUGGACGCAAGUCUGAUGGAGCAACGCCGCGUGAGUGAAGAAGGUUUUCGGAUCGUAAAGCUCUGUUGUUGGUGAAGAAGGAUAGAGGUAGUAACUGGCCUUUAUUUGACGGUAAUCAACCAGAAAGUCACGGCUAACUACGUGCCAGCAGCCGCGGUAAUACGUAGGUGGCAAGCGUUGUCCGGAUUUAUUGGGCGUAAAGCGAGCGCAGGCGGAAAAAUAAGUCUAAUGUGAAAGCCCUCGGCUUAACCGAGGAACUGCAUCAGAAACUGUUUUUCUUGAGUGCAGAAGAGGAGAGUGGAACUCCAUGUGUAGCGGUGGAAUGCGUAGAUAUAUGGAAGAACACCAGUGGCGAAAGCGGCUCUCUGGUCUGCAACUGACGCUGAGGCUCGAAAGCAUGGGUAGCGAACAGGAUUAGAUACCCUGGUAGUCCAUGCCGUAAACGAUGAGUGCUAAGUGU